CUCCCCCCUACUCCUUCUGUGUGAAUGGGGUGGGCCCCUCUCCCCUCGUCUUCAGUGUGGAUGGGGUAUCCCCCUUCUCCUUUGGCAUGCUGGCUGAAGGCGUCUCCGCUGUGGGCUGCCUCUCACUGUACUGUUUGCUCCAGAACCAGGGUAUUAUGAGGACGGGGCCUUCGGGAUCCGCAUCGAGAACGUUGUUCUGGUGGUUCCUGUGAAGACCAAGUAUAAUUUCAAUAACCGAGGAAGCCUGACCUUUGAACCUCUAACUUUGGUUCCCAUCCAGACCAAAAUGAUAGAUGUGGAUUCUCUUACAGAUAAAGAGGGACCCGUGCCUCUUGUAGCAUCCACUGGCUACACUUCCAGGGCCUUAUCAAGGGACCCUUGAAAGCCCACGGCUGUAGUUUAUGACCAGGUAAGUAGGUUGCACCGUUGUCCUGACCAUGUGUGAAUUGGGAGGUAUUUGUCCCAGGGCAUGCUCCAUUUACUCAGGGAAGUAGUGCAUGAGGAAAAGUUAAGCAAGGCUGUUUUUUCCUGAAAGAUUUUUACUGACUCACAACCCACUUAGUGACACUGGACGCAGACCACUGGGAUAUGCCAUGUUCAG
RNAcentral lists this long non-coding RNA (601 nucleotides) under Cricetulus griseus (Chinese hamster). Its description in RNAcentral is "lncRNA (ENSCGRG00000026311.1)". The record is from RNAcentral. Lineage: Eukaryota; Metazoa; Chordata; Mammalia; Rodentia; Cricetidae.